RNAcentral lists this unclassified non-coding RNA (229 nucleotides) under Hevea brasiliensis (rubber tree). Lineage: Eukaryota; Viridiplantae; Streptophyta; Magnoliopsida; Malpighiales; Euphorbiaceae. The record is from RNAcentral.
AAAAGAUUGAACAGAAUUGCAAGAUAAAGGGCUCCUAAGCUAAAGAAGAUCAAACCUCGAAACCCCAGUCCUCCGAAACUAGAAUCGGCAGUCUACUUAUGUGCUUCUUUCUUGAAUUUUCUUGAAGAAUAAGAAGAAGAAAAUGUUGUUUCAAGUAGGAGGACAAGGGACGCGUCCUACUUUCUUCGAGAUGGCCGCCGCCCAGCAACUUCCCGCCAGUCUCCGUGCU